RNAcentral lists this ribosomal RNA (2893 nucleotides) under Tuanshanicoccus yangjingiae. Its description in RNAcentral is "23S ribosomal RNA". It matches the Rfam family "Bacterial large subunit ribosomal RNA". Lineage: Bacteria; Bacillati; Bacillota; Bacilli; Lactobacillales; Aerococcaceae. The record is from RNAcentral.
GGUUAAGUAACAAAGGGCGCACGGUGGAUGCCUUGGCACUAGGAGCCGAAGAAGGACGUGACGAACGACGAAAUGCGUUGGGGAGUUGUAAGUAAGCUAUGAUCCAGCGAUGUCCGAAUGGGGGAACCCACUACGAGUAGAAACGUAGUACGCGAAAGCGAGGUAGACGCAGAGAACUGAAACAUCUAAGUACCUGCAGGAAGAGAAAGAAAAAUCGAUUCCCGGAGUAGCGGCGAGCGAAAUGGGAAGAGCCCAAACCAAUGUGCAUGCACAUUGGGGUUGUAGGACUGCAACGUGGGAGUGAGAUUGAUAGAAGAAUGACAUGGGAAGGUCAGCCAAAGAGAGUGAGAGCCUCGUAUUCGAAAUCGAUUGAACCUCUAGCAGCAUCCUGAGUACGGCGGGACACGAGGAAUCCCGUCGGAAUCCGCCAGGACCAUCUGGCAAGGCUAAAUACUACCUAGUGACCGAUAGUGAACCAGUACCGUGAGGGAAAGGUGAAAAGGACCCCGGGAGGGGAGUGAAAGAGUACCUGAAACCGUGUGCUUACAAGUAGUCAGAGCCCGUUAAGGGGUGAUGGCGUACCUUUUGUAGAAUGGACCGGCGAGUGACGUUACCGUGCGAGGUUAAGCUGAAGAAGCGGAGCCGAAGCGAAAGCGAGUCUUAAUAGGGCGAAAGUACGAUGACGUCGACCCGAAACCAAGUGACCUACCCAUGAGCAGGUUGAAGGUGCGGUAAGACGCACUGGAGGACCGAACCAGGACACGUUGAAAAGUGUUUGGAUGACUUGUGGGUAGCGGAGAAAUUCCAAUCGAACUUGGAGAUAGCUGGUUCUCUCCGAAAUAUAUUUAGGUAUAGCCUCAGAGUGAGAGUCAAGGAGGUAGAGCACUGUUUGGACUAGGGGGGCGCAAGCUUUACCGAAUUCAGAUAAACUCCGAAUGCCAUGUACUCAUCUCUGGGAGUCAGACUGCGAGUGAUAAGAUCCGUAGUCGAAAGGGAAACAGCCCAGACCACCAGCUAAGGUCCCAAAGUAAUUGUUAAGUGGAAAAGGAUGUGGAGUUGCACAGACAGCUAGGAUGUUGGCUUAGAAGCAGCCACCAUUUAAAGAGUGCGUAAUAGCUCACUAGUCGAGUGACUCCGCGCCGAAAAUGUACCGGGGCUAAACAAUACACCGAAGCUGUGGAUUCUAGCGAAGAGCUAGAGUGGUAGGAGAGCGUUCUAUUAGCGGAGAAGUCAUACCGUAAGGAGUGGUGGAGCGAAUAGAAGUGAGAAUGCCGGUAUGAGUAGCGCAAGACGGGUGAGAAUCCCGUCCACCGAAAGACUAAGGUUUCCAGGGGAAGGCUCGUCCGCCCUGGGUUAGUCGGGACCUAAGCAAAAGCCGAUAGGCGUAUGCGAUGGACAACAGGUAGAGAUUCCUGUACUUGGUAAGUAUCGUUUGAACGAAGGAGGGACACAGGAGGCGACUCCACGCAUCCGGAUGGAAGAGGAUGUGCAAGCAACGAGUCUUGAUAAGAGUGAAAUGCUUUUAUCUGGAAGGGUGAGUUGUGACGCGUAGCGAAAUAAAGUAGCGAAGGUGGAUAAUCAAACUGUCGAGAAAAGCUUCUAGUGAGAUACAACCAACCCGUACCGCAAACCGACACAGGUAGUCGAGUGGAGAACACUCAGGUGAUCGAGAGAACUCUCGUUAAGGAACUCGGCAAAAUGACCCCGUAACUUCGGGAGAAGGGGUGCUGAUGGAAACAUCAGCCGCAGUGAAUAGGCCCAGGCGACUGUUUAUCAAAAACACAGGUCUCUGCAAAAUCGAAAGAUGACGUAUAGGGGCUGACGCCUGCCCGGUGCUGGAAGGUUAAGAGGAGAGGUUAGGAGCAAUCUGAAGCUUUGAAUUGAAGCCCCAGUAAACGGCGGCCGUAACUAUAACGGUCCUAAGGUAGCGAAAUUCCUUGUCGGGUAAGUUCCGACCCGCACGAAAGGCGUAACGAUCUGGGCACUGUCUCAACGAGAGACUCGGUGAAAUUAUAGUACCUGUGAAGAUGCAGGUUACCCGCGACAGGACGGAAAGACCCCAUGGAGCUUUACUGUAACUUGAUAUUGAGUGUUUGUGUGGCAUGUACAGGAUAGGUAGGAGCUGAAGAAUCGUGAACGCCAGUUUACGAGGAGGCGCUGGUGGGAUACUACCCUUGUGACAUGGACCCUCUAACCCGCGUGUGAGGAGCACGGGAGACAGUGUCAGGUGGACAGUUUGACUGGGGCGGUCGCCUCCUAAAGAGUAACGGAGGCGCCCAAAGGUUCCCUCAGAAUGGUUGGAAAUCAUUCGCAGAGUGCAAAGGCAGAAGGGAGCUUGACUGCGAGACGGACAGGUCGAGCAGGGACGAAAGUCGGGCUUAGUGAUCCGGUGGUACCGCAUGGAAGGGCCAUCGCUCAACGGAUAAAAGCUACCCUGGGGAUAACAGGCUUAUCUCCCCCAAGAGUUCACAUCGACGGGGAGGUUUGGCACCUCGAUGUCGGCUCAUCGCAUCCUGGGGCUGAAGUCGGUCCCAAGGGUUGGGCUGUUCGCCCAUUAAAGCGGUACGCGAGCUGGGUUCAGAACGUCGUGAGACAGUUCGGUCCCUAUCCGUCGCGGGCGUAGGAAAUUUGAGAAGAGCUAUCCUUAGUACGAGAGGACCGGGAUGGACGCACCGCUGGUGUACCAGUUGUUCCGCCAGGAGCAUCGCUGGGUAGCUAUGUGUGGGAAGGAUAAGCGCUGAAAGCAUCUAAGCGCGAAGCCAGCUUCAAGAUGAGAUUUCCCAUUCUUUUAAAGAAGUAAGACCCCUGAGAGACGAACAGGUAGAUAGGCUAGAAGUGGAAGUGUUGUGAGACAUGGAGCGGACUAGUACUAAUCGGUCGAGGACUUAACCAA